GAUGAAGAACGCAGCGAAAUGCGAUAAGUAAUGUGAAUUGCAGAAUUCAGUGAAUCAUCGAAUCUUUGAACGCACAUUGCGCCCGCCAGUAUUCUGGCGGGCAUGCCUGUCUGAGCGUCAUUUCAACCCUCAUGCCCCUAGGGCGUGGUGUUGGGGAUCGGCCAAAGCCCGCAAGGGACGGCCGGCCCCUAAAUCUAGUGGCGGACCCGUCGUGGCCUCCCCUGCGAAGUAGUGAUAUUCCGCAUAGGAGAAGCGACGAGCCCCUGCCGUUAAACCCCCAACUUUCUCAGGUUGACCUCAGAUCAGGUAGUAAUACCCGCUGAACUUAAGCAUAUCAAUAAGCGGAGGA
This 349-nucleotide unclassified non-coding RNA is filed under the name soil metagenome. RNAcentral's name for it is "partial contains 5.8S ribosomal RNA, internal transcribed spacer 2, and large subunit ribosomal RNA". The stretch from base 1 to 120 matches the Rfam family "5.8S ribosomal RNA", at positions 35 to 154 of the family's 154-position model. The record is from RNAcentral.